This 777-nucleotide ribosomal RNA is filed under the name uncultured Neocallimastigales. RNAcentral describes it as "partial large subunit ribosomal RNA". It matches the Rfam family "Eukaryotic large subunit ribosomal RNA", at positions 23 to 640 of the family's 3401-position model. The record is from RNAcentral. Lineage: Eukaryota; Fungi; Neocallimastigomycota; Neocallimastigomycetes; Neocallimastigales.
GAGACUCUGUGCGCGUGCAUAUCAAUAAGCGGAGGAAAAGAAACUAACAAGGAUUCCCUUAGUAACGGCGAGUGAAGCGGGAAGAGCUCAAAUUUGAAAUCUUCAAGGUUCUACCUUGACGAAUUGUAGUUUAUAGAAGUGUUUUCUGUUAGUGGAGUGGCAAAAGUUCUUUGGAAUAGGACAUCAUAGAGGGUGAGAAUCCCGUAUUUGGUCAUUCCUCCUAGCGUUGUGAUACACUUUCAACGAGUCGGAUUGUUUGGGAAUGCAGUCCAAAAUGGGUGGUAAAUUUCAUCUAAAGCUAAAUAUUGGCGAGAGACCGAUAGCGAACAAGUACCGUGAGGGAAAGAUGAGAAGAACUUUGAAAAGAGAGUUAAACAGUACGUGAAAUUGUCAAAAGGGAAGCGUUUGACACCAGUGUUGUUUUUCCGAAAAUCAAUUACGAAUGUUUUAGUUUUUGAGGAGUUAUGACUUCAUCGGCUUGCUUCUCUCUUUAUGAAACUUUCUUAAUGCACCUUUUCGGUUAACAAGUCAACAUCAAUUUCUUUUGUUGUAAAAGGGUAUGAGGAAGGUGGCUUUCUUUUCGGAGAAAGUGUUUAUAGCCUUGUAGCCUCUGCAAUCGGAGAGAUUGAGGUCUGCAGCGUAGAUCCUUCGGGGUUAGAUACAUUUGUGCUAAGUUAUAGCUUUUCAUAGACAACUUGUUGACUAUGUUUAGUCUUGUAGCUUACUCGCUUAUGCUAUUUUACCUACGCUUAGGAUGUUGACAGCAGUAUAGACUGU